RNAcentral lists this transfer RNA (83 nucleotides) under Canis lupus familiaris (dog). It matches the Rfam family "tRNA". From Rfam's summary of the family: Transfer RNA (tRNA) molecules are approximately 80 nucleotides in length. Their secondary structure includes four short double-helical elements and three loops (D, anti-codon, and T loops). The record is from Rfam by way of RNAcentral. Lineage: Eukaryota; Metazoa; Chordata; Mammalia; Carnivora; Canidae. RNAcentral also lists the same sequence under 1 other name.
GCCUGGGUGGCUCAGCAGUUGAGCAUCUGCCUUUGGCUCAGGGCGUGAUCCCUGGGGCUUGGGAUCGAGUCCCACAUCAGGCU